Molecule: ribosomal RNA, 496 nt
Filed under: uncultured bacterium
Lineage: Bacteria
Description: partial 16S ribosomal RNA
Rfam family: Bacterial small subunit ribosomal RNA
Source: RNAcentral
AUGAACGCUGGCGGCGUGCCUAAUACAUGCAAGUCGAGCGAACAGAUAAGGAGCUUGCUCCUUUGACGUUAGCGGCGGACGGGUGAGUAACACGUGGGUAACCUACCUAUAAGACUGGGAUAACUUCGGGAAACCGGAGCUAAUACCGGAUAAUAUUUCGAACCGCAUGGUUCGAUAGUGAAAGAUGGUUUUGCUAUCACUUAUAGAUGGACCCGCGCCGUAUUAGCUAGUUGAUAAGGUAACGGCUUACCAAGGCGACGAUACGUAGCCGACCUGAGAGGGUGAUCGGCCACACUGGAACUGAGACACGGUCCAGACUCCUACGGGAGGCAGCAGUAGGGAAUCUUCCGCAAUGGGCGAAAGCCUGACGGAGCAACGCCGCGUGAGUGAUGAAGGUCUUCGGAUCGUAAAACUCUGUUAUUAGGGAAGAACAUACGUGUAAGUAACUGUGCACGUCUUGACGGUACCUAAUCAGAAAGCCACGGCUAACUACGUG